RNAcentral lists this ribosomal RNA (163 nucleotides) under uncultured bacterium. Its description in RNAcentral is "partial 16S ribosomal RNA". It matches the Rfam family "Bacterial small subunit ribosomal RNA", at positions 355 to 511 of the family's 1533-position model. The record is from RNAcentral.
UGGGGAAUAUUGCACAAUGGGCGCAAGCCUGAUGCAGCCAUGCCGCGUGUGUGAAGAAGGCCUUGGGUUGUAAAGCACUUUCAGCGGGGAGGAAGGCGAUAAGGUUAAUAACCUCAUCGAUUGACGUUACCCGCAGAAGAAGCACCGGCUAACUCCGUGCCAG